Molecule: RNA transcript, 2142 nt
Organism: Nicotiana tabacum (common tobacco)
Lineage: Eukaryota; Viridiplantae; Streptophyta; Magnoliopsida; Solanales; Solanaceae
Gene name: protein ROOT PRIMORDIUM DEFECTIVE 1
Source: RefSeq, a predicted model, not a curated record
UAACAAGCCUUAUUCAUCAUUUAGGCUAAAAGUCCAAUGUUUAGAUCCAAAGCAAAUCCCAGUCCAGGUCCACAAAGCUACCCGUAAAUGCCACUCCGCCGCCGCAAACCACCACUAGUACUACCACCAAUCACCGCCACCGCCGUUAACAACCACGGCGAUAAACCAUGCUGACCCAACUCCUCUCCAAACUAAACCAUCAACCACCCACCACCACCAUCCUCCUCCUCCUCCGCCGGAAAACUACCUCAGCUGAAUACGUAGCCUCGAGAAACCGAGACCCCACUUUCGAAAAACUCAUGGACAAAUACAAAAACCUCUUCAAAGUCAUCUCGAUUCAAAACCUCAUCCUCGGCACCACCACCACCAACAACGCCACCGCCUCACCCCCCGCCGUGUCCGUCGACUUCCUCAACCGCUUAUCUCAGCGCCUCCAUCUCAACCGCGGCGCCACCCAUUUCCUCCGUAAGUACCCCCACAUCUUCCACAUUUUCCACCACCCCACCAAAUUACAACCCUUUUGUACACUCACUGAAUCCGCCCUCAAAAUCACCCAACAAGAAGCUGCAGCUAUCAAUGCUUCUUUACCACUUGUAAUCAACCGUUUAGUGCGUAUGUUGUCUAUGUCAGUGACUAAAACACUGCCCCUUAGAGCCAUUUUCAAGGUUUUUAGGGAACUUGGUUUGCCUGAUGAUUUUGAGGAUAGUGUAAUCUUGAAAAAAUCUAAUCUUUUUGCACUUGUUGAUAGUGGGAUUGAACCAAACACUCAUUUAUUGAAACUUGUUGGGGAUGUAAUACCGAAAAGUGAGUUAGUUGCAGCUGUUGAUAGUUGGAGGGUUAUGGAGUGUUGUAAAGAGGAUGUUGGGGUUGAUAGGAAUGAGAUUUUGUAUAGUUUUAAGCAUAGUUAUCCACCAGGGAUGAAGUUGAGGAGGAGUUUUAAGGCAAAGGUUAAGGAAUGGGAAAAGUUGAAGUACGUGGGGCCGUACGAGGCGGUGGAGAUUGGGGAGAAGAGAAAGAGUAAGAUUGGGACGAUGGAGAUGGAGAAAAGAGCUGUUGGGAUUGUUCAUGAGUUUUUGAGUUUGACAGUUGAGAAAAUGGUUGAGGUAGAGAAGAUUAGUCAUUUUAGGAAAUGGUUUGGGAUUGAUUUGAAUAUAAGGGACUUGUUUUUGGAUCAUCCAGGGAUAUUUUAUUUGUCGACGAAAGGGUAUAGGCAUACAGUGUUUUUGAGGGAGGCUUAUGAAAGGGGAUGCUUGAUUGAACCGAACCCGGUGUAUGAGGCUAGGAGGAAGCUUCUUGAUCUUGUUAUUUUGGGACGGCGUGGAUUGUCUAGAGGUCACUCUGAGCCAACGAGCGUGAGACAGGGUGACGAUGGUAUUGACGAGUUGAAGACUGAUUCAGAUGAAGAUUGAAUGCAGGGAUGCUUUGCAAUAGCUUAGCAGUGAAAAUGGAGGUAAGAAUAGAGAACACGAGUGCUGGAUUGUUCAUUUACUCUGAGGGAGAUGAGUAACAUCCAUAUUAGCAGAGACCAACUUCAGCGAGUGAGAUGAAUUAUCCUCCACAUUAGCAUAGAGGCUUGCGUUUGAGGAAAUGAGGCCGAGUUUCAAUUACUGAUUACACUGUUAUAAGGCUGCAAAAUUUGCUGCUUUAUAAUGGAUGACGUGGUGGUUGCAAGUGAAUGUUGAGUAUCACUGAUACUUUAAGAGAGUUACUCGAUUUAGAACUUGUGGUCUUUGGGUGAAGCUACACAGGCCGUAAUGCUUGCAGUGCCCUGCCUUUUGAACAAUGCACGACUGUUUUUGAUUGUUGCAAAUCUAUCUAGCCAAGCUGUUUUGUAACUUCUACAAGUUUUGUGAAGGUGGGGAAGCCAGCGAAUGGAAUCGGAGCAUUCAUUGUAUCAUCUUGGAAAAAGAAGUCCAAAUCCUGCAUGCAUGAUCUGGGAGCUGGAGACAGGCCAAGUGAAAUUAUGUAUCUUACUUGCUUACUAAUUAUCUUGGUUUCUUAGGCAUUAACUGCAAGUUGUGUUGUAUAUUACUCACAAGUUUCUGGGUCCGUGGUUUCUCCUUUUUUAUGAAUGUGUUGAAUUGUAAGCUGAUAUUAGUUGAAGAAGAAUGUAUAUUAAAUUUAUGAAAUUUGGUUUGGAAA